Molecule: microRNA precursor, 65 nt
Filed under: Columba livia (rock pigeon)
Lineage: Eukaryota; Metazoa; Chordata; Aves; Columbiformes; Columbidae
Description: Cli-Mir-1467_pre stem-loop
Source: RNAcentral
UCUCAGCUACGUCGGUGUAAAUCCAGAGCAACUCCACUGAGAUUCACACCAGAGUAACUGAGAGC